This 1734-nucleotide unclassified non-coding RNA is filed under the name Leishmania donovani. Its description in RNAcentral is "gene:unknown". Lineage: Eukaryota; Euglenozoa; Kinetoplastea; Trypanosomatida; Trypanosomatidae. The record is from RNAcentral.
AACUUCCUGCUGCGCCCUCACCUCUUCGCAGCAUGCCACCGCCGUCUCACGCGCACCUCCCUUUUUCUUUCCUCCCUUUUCUCUUCGUUUUUGUACCCCGUUAGGGGCCUGUCUUGGUGUUUGUUUCUUUCUUGUGUGUGUGUGUGUGUAUGUGCGUGAGUGACCCCUCUGCCUGCGCGAAAGAGAUUUACGAGGAAAGGGAUGAGGACACACACACACGCACACGCACACGCACGAGGCAAGCGAAUGUGGGAAUGCCGUCUCUGCCACUUUGUCCGUGCGGGUAGCAGCAGGCAGUCCGCUCUGAGGAUUUGCUGCCAUGCGAACACUAAGGGAGGCAAUAUAUAUGUGUGUGUGUGGGGGGGUUCCACCUCCCUCUUCCUUUGCCUCGCCUGUUGAGAAUGGGUUCGUUUCGUGGCCCGAAAGAAAACGAUAAGGAUAUGGAGUGACCAGGAGGGUGUGUGGGAACACGAAAUGGAAGAAAAAAAUGAAUUCUUUUUUUUUGCCCUGUUUGCUAGUUUCACCUGCAGUCCGUCUCCCUUUCUUUUUCCUUCUCGCUUAGGGAUCUGGGGCACGGUCGAUCGCAAUGCUGAUUCCGUGUCCCGUGGGACUCUCGUUGUCUCCGUCUAGUUCGUACCCCAUUUUGUUUUUGUCUCUCUCCUCGGCCACAUCUCCAUACUCGCCGACAAGUCCACCCCUCAUCAUCUCACCAACGUACAAAACGCUAGUGUCUCGAACGGCGACAACAAACGAAGGGCUGCAUCUCUCACAUCAUCUUCUUACUUGUCUGCUCUUUGUUGUCCUUUCUUUCUCCACCCCUCUCCCUCUACGAUGUCGUUUCCCCCCUCCCCCCCCCUCUUUUUUGUUGUGUGUCUUGUGUGACUUCUGGGCAGUAAGCCAGCGCAUCUCUCUCUCUAUACUGUAGGUCCGGGUCGGUCGAGACCUCUCACUGAUUGCUUGCUUGUCCCCUAUCUUCGCACGCCACAACCCAUCCCCUGUGCAAGCUCGCUGCCGCUUUUUUUUUCCUGAUCUGCGUACGGCCGGGUGAACAGUCGAUCUGCAGUGCCACACACGCACACGAAAUUGGUGUGCCGUGUAACAACCCCCCCUCCCACACAUACUCUGUUGCUCGUUAUGUGGGUCGCUGCGAGUGCGUGUGCGGCGCUGCCUUGAUGUUGAGCACGUGAGAAAUGAUCAUAAACUGUCUGCGUCUUGGUUUACCUUUGACCAACGCCUCCUUCAGUUCCUAUUUUUUUUUCGCGGCACCCAGCGGCUGCCGCGGGCGUCCUCGUUCUCGUUGCGGCUCUCAGAAGAGCGUUUUGCGCAUAGGGUUACGCCCUGCAGAAAGAUUACCGUGUGCGGGCCCUCAUGUAUGCGAAAAGAUAGCCCAUUAGCAAGGCGAAGGACAACACAAGAUACGAAACAGAUACUUUUUGGCGCCAGAAGAGGUGGCAUCCCUUUCUGUGGCAAAGUUCGGGAUGCCAUCUCUCCCUUGCGCGUACUAGCGGAAGGAAGUGUGCGGUAAGCUCGCAUGCGGCGCACGGCCGCCGGCACUUGAUCAAGGCAAACAUCCACUACUGCCACCCCGCAGCGCGUGCCUUCCUUUCCGUUAGCUUUUCUUUGACCUUUCUCGUUUUCUUUGCUUUCCUUUUCGCUGCGUUUACCUGUGUGUCCUACUCAUGUAUAUGCGCUUUCCUUUGGCUUUUUCGCACGGUGGCAGGCUGUGUCCUUUCG